UGAAAAAAUUGUGAUCGCUUCUCUGUGGUUCUGUAUUUGUAGGUUAAGCUCAAUUUGACGUUUAAAAGAGGUUUCUUGUUUGUUAUUAUUUACCUUUCAGAAUUGAAAACAAUAUGUGGGCGCGUGGCCGAAAUGGAAAAAUCAGCAUGGAGCAGAAAAUGGUUCUACUGGAUUAUUUGUCGAAUCACUACAAAAUGAUAUGUGGCAAAUUCAGCCAAAAUUUUAACCAUAAAAUAGCUCGACAAUAUUGGCAGGAAUUGAGCGAUAUUUUGAAUGCAAUACCUGGGGGAGCAAAAAAAGACUGGCAUCAGUGGAGAAAAACUUGGCAUGAUAUGCGUACAAAAACCAAAAGUAAAAAUGCAGCUAUCAAGAAGCAUAAGGAAGGUAUAGGUGGAGGCGCUUAUUUCAAAGAACAGCUGACACCGUCAGAGAAUAAAAUACUGCAGAUGAUAUGCACCACUUCUGUUGAAGGGCAUAAUUAUGUUGAAGAAUCUUUAAUUGCUUUUAAAUGAAAUGUGAGGUUUCAGAAGAACUUCCUCCUCUUUUUCAACAAGUUCAUUUCAGUAGUUCCCCCAAAAAAAGAAAAAUGUGAAAUGGAGAAUCUAUACUACAAAGAGAAAAUCAAAUUAUUGAAACACAAAGUUCAUUUAAAGGAGCGACAAGUAAAUGCAUUAGAAAGGAUUGCUAUAUGUAUGGAAAGUAUUGUUGGCUCGAAAAGUGAGAAGUUACUGAACUUUUCUUAAGCAUUUUUAUGUGUUCAUUGUUAUUUGGUCCACAUAGAUCUUUUUGCUAGAGGUUUGCGAUUAUUUGUUCAUGGGUCAACUGAAUAAUGACAAAUAUAUUAGGAAGCAAAAGAGCUGAUUUUGAAAAUUCAAGCAAUUGACAUUCCAGCAAUCACAGUUAGGAGAUUAUUGGAAGGAACAUGGCUAUAAAUUGAAAACUACACCAAAGUAUACUGGAUGAUUACAUUGGAUGAAUAAAAUUUUGUGGGAUUGUGAGAUUUUCUCCUCAUAGACACCACAGGAUAAUCAGUAUCCAUAUAUCGAUCAAAAUCAACUAACUAUCCUGAAAAUGUAACAUAUGGACUGGUUUUUCAAUAUAUAUUUUCACACUAUUUAAUGUUGAAAAAGUUGUUAAUAAGAACAAAUUGCCUAUUUUGAAAUAAAGCAUUUAUUUUCCCAAA
Harmonia axyridis is the source of this 1183-nucleotide RNA transcript. RefSeq lists it as uncharacterized. The record is from RefSeq and is a predicted model, not a curated record. The transcript has 5 exons. NCBI's taxonomy places the organism in Eukaryota, Metazoa, Arthropoda, Insecta, Coleoptera, Coccinellidae.